This 91-nucleotide transfer RNA is filed under the name Streptomyces albiflavescens. Its description in RNAcentral is "tRNA-Sec". The record is from RNAcentral. Lineage: Bacteria; Bacillati; Actinomycetota; Actinomycetes; Kitasatosporales; Streptomycetaceae.
GGCAGCGCAUCGGGUGCGGUACGACAUGGACUUCAAAUACGCGCUCGGUCUGGAUCUGGACGAUCCGGGGUUCGACGCCUCGGUGCUGUCG